This is a long non-coding RNA of Rhododendron vialii, 1499 nucleotides long. RefSeq lists it as uncharacterized. The record is from RefSeq and is a predicted model, not a curated record. Lineage: Eukaryota; Viridiplantae; Streptophyta; Magnoliopsida; Ericales; Ericaceae. The transcript is spliced from 4 exons.
CCUUCUCCCGCUCGGCUGUAAACUACAUGUCUGGCUGCCAAACUGCUGUUUCCAACAUCAUAAUGUCUUGUGUUGUCUUCCUCACCUUGGAAUUCCUAACACCCCUUUUUAAGUACACCCCAAACGCCAUCCUUUCUGCCAUCAUCAUAUCUGCAGUCCUAGGCCUAAUCGACUUCGAGGCAGUAGUCUUUAUAUGGAAGAUCGAUAAGUUUGACUUCAUUGCUUGCAUGGGAGCCUUUUUUGGAGUCAUUUUUGCUUCCGUAGAGACGGGCCUCUUGAUCGCAGUAUUGAUAUCUUUCGCUAAAAUCUUACCACAGGUCACAAGGCCAAGAACGGUGAUGCUUGGGAGAAUCCCCAGGACUAAUGUUUACUGGAACUUACAGCACAGCAGUAUCCUGAAGCAACUAAGGUUCCCGAUGUUUUGAUUGUGAGAGUUGAUUAUGCAAUCUACUUUUCGAACUCCAACUAUAUCAAGGAAAGGAUAUUGAGAUGGUUGACCGAUGAAGAAGAGUUACUGAAAGCAUCAUAUCUUCCAAAAAUCCAAUUUUUGAUUGUUGAAAUGUCGCCUGUUACCGACAUCUACACCAGUGGCAUCCAUGCCUUGGAAGAGUUACUUACGAGUCUCCAGAAGAGAGAUGUUCCAGGUAAUCAAAUUAAAUUCAUUCCAUACUCCAUGCCGUCAAUCAAGUUUGUCAGUUCAUGCACGCUCUCACCAGAAGUACAAUACGUAGAUUCUCAUAUGACAAAAUGAUUUAUGGGCAAUGUUAACAAACAGACACACGGAAAAUUUAGAAUUAAUGAUCUAGUUACAUGAUUACAUCGUAAUCCUCUCACUCGAAAGCUUGAUUAUAAUACAUCAAUGACAGGUAGGCGGUGUAGCAGAAGAUUCUGCUUAAAAACUUCGAAACAAUAGCAUUUUCUAUGACUUACAGUAAACUGUGUUCUACUAGAGUUACCCAAAACAAGUCAUUGUUGCUGUUUUUUCAGCUUGUCCUAGCGAACCUGGGGCGAAUGGUGAUCGACAAGCUAUUUGCAUCCGAUUUUGCAAAUUCGAUUGGUGAAAACAAGAUCUUCCUCACGGUAGCAGAUGCUGUCAUAACUUGUGCACCGAAAUCAGUAGAAGAGGUUUGAGCAUCUACAAUGCAAAGGCCAAAUGGGAAUCAUGGCGAGGAAAAAAAAAACAACAACAACUGAGAUGUACAGAUAUAUACUCCUAUAUAACAGUUUUUCAAAAAGAAGAGGAUCCGGUUGAGUAGUUGGCUAGUGGGUAAAGGGUUCCUAAUUUCUCAAGAAAAAAAAGGGACUUCACUAAUGCAUAGUCCUGAGAUUUUUUUCCCCCAUUUUCCUCUCUUCUUGUCACUUCAUGUGUCUUCCCAGUUCUCUGAGCCAUGAGGCUAUGAGAGAUAAGAUCAUAGCUAUGUAAAACAUGAGGUUCUUUGUGCUUCAUUUCCUGUUAUGUGAUUCAUUCAAAAAAAUCAGAAACAAUCAGAGUUCCUUUU